This 551-nucleotide ribosomal RNA is filed under the name uncultured Geobacter sp. RNAcentral's name for it is "bacterial SSU rRNA". It matches the Rfam family "Bacterial small subunit ribosomal RNA", at positions 355 to 896 of the family's 1533-position model. Lineage: Bacteria; Pseudomonadati; Thermodesulfobacteriota; Desulfuromonadia; Geobacterales; Geobacteraceae. The record is from RNAcentral.
UGGGGAAUUUUGCGCAAUGGGGGAAACCCUGACGCAGCAACGCCGCGUGGGUGAUGAAGGCCUUCGGGUCGUAAAGCCCUGUCGGGAGGGAAGAAAUGAUUGUGAGCUAAUACCUCGUGAUCUUGACGGUACCUCCGAAGGAAGCACCGGCUAACUCCGUGCCAGCAGCCGCGGUAAUACGGAGGGUGCAAGCGUUGUUCGGAAUUAUUGGGCGUAAAGCGCGUGUAGGCGGUCUUUUAAGUCUGAUGUGAAAGCCCCGGGCUCAACCUGGGAAGUGCAUUGGAAACUGGAAGACUUGAGUACGGGAGAGGAGAGUGGAAUUCCUAGUGUAGGAGUGAAAUCCGUAGAUAUUAGGAGGAACACCGGUGGCGAAGGCGGCUCUCUGGACCGAUACUGACGCUGAGACGCGAAAGCGUGGGUAGCAAACAGGAUUAGAUACCCUGGUAGUCCACGCCGUAAACGAUGAGUACUAGGUGUUGCGGGUAUUGACCCCUGCAGUGCCGCAGCUAACGCAUUAAGUACUCCGCCUGGGAAGUACGGUCGCAAGACUA